This 253-nucleotide ribosomal RNA is filed under the name uncultured bacterium. Its description in RNAcentral is "partial 16S ribosomal RNA". It matches the Rfam family "Bacterial small subunit ribosomal RNA", at positions 524 to 776 of the family's 1533-position model. The record is from RNAcentral.
UACGGAGGGUGCAAGCGUUAUUCGGAAUGACUGGGCGUAAAGCGCACGCAGGCGGUUACUUAAGUCAGAUGUGAAAGCCCCGGGCUUAACCUGGGAAUUGCAUUUGAAACUGGGUAACUAGAGUAUGUCAGAGGAAGGCGGAAUUUCCAGUGUAGCAGUGAAAUGCGUAGAUAUUGAGAAGAACACCAGUAGCGAAGGCGGCUUUCUGGACUGUAACUGACACUGAGGCACGAAAGCGUGGGUAGCAAACAGG